GCUUUCCUGUGGCUCAGUUGGUAGAGCAUUGCACUAACAACGAAGGGUGGUGGGUUAAAAUCCCAUGGAAAGCA
Danionella cerebrum is the source of this 74-nucleotide non-coding RNA. NCBI's taxonomy places the organism in Eukaryota, Metazoa, Chordata, Actinopteri, Cypriniformes, Danionidae. The record is from the annotation of a GenBank genome assembly.